Molecule: long non-coding RNA, 7368 nt
Filed under: Lactuca sativa (garden lettuce)
Lineage: Eukaryota; Viridiplantae; Streptophyta; Magnoliopsida; Asterales; Asteraceae
Description: long non-coding RNA (LSAT_LNC007520)
Source: RNAcentral
AACUAGAUAAGGAUAAUGACUGAAACCCUAUCUCUACACCUAUAUAAACACCCCUUGGCUCAUGAAUUCGUGCAUCCCUUCCCAAGAAGUCUUAGAGACGAAUGCUAACCUCUCUCCUCUCUCUUUAUACCUUCUCCACUUGCUUAUGGUGUUUGUAAGCCAUUAGAGGAGUGACACUUGUGACUCUCAGCUUUCCAAGGUCAAUUCAAGGAGGAAUUGGAUUGUUAUUGCUAUAUAACAAUCAAGGUAUGUUCUUAAACCUAAUUACAUGUGAAUUCUGAUUUCCAUAUGCUAGAAUUAGGGUUCAAAGUCUUGGAUUCAAAGUAUGUACAAUAGAGAAACCUAGAUCCAAGCUUUAGGGUUUGUAUGAGCACAUAGGAUGUCUUAUGACCAAAACCCAUCAGUGGUAUCAGAGCCAUGAUUGGUUUCUAUUGUAUUGAUGCUUGAUGUAACUGAAAAUCGUGUUUUGGCCUCACUGUUCGACCUGACUCGGCGAGUCACUCUUGGACUCGGCGAGUCAGCCUUACUCGGCGAGUUCCAGAGGGUGACUCGGCGAGUCGGUGCGUCAGACAGUGCUUAUCUCGGGAUUUCUUGCUGUUUUUGCAUUGGGAUAAUUACCUUAUCAUGUUAGAUUAAUAUUAAUCCGAUUAUAUGAUAUAUUUGACUAUAUUUUUAAUCUAAUUGAAGAUAUUUAUCAAUUAAUAAGAUAAUUGUUUCCUUAUAAGAUAAUUGAUUAAUUAUUUUAAGUAAAUUGAUAAAUUGUUUUGCAAGAAAUCAUCAAAUAUGGAUAAUUAUGUGAUUAAAUGUUAAUUUGAAUUAUUUGUUAUUUGAUCCUUGUUGUUGUGAAAAGUUUCAUAUUUGGCCCUUUAGGUUUUAUAGUUUAAAUUUGAACCCCAAAAGUUUUGUUGUUUUGAAAUUUAAAUAGUUGAAACCCUAAUGUUUUGAAAAAGGUUUCAAAACUUGCCCUCAAGUUUUGGAAUUUAAAUUUUGAUUAAAUAGUUUAAUUUUGAUGCAUAUUUAAAUUCUAAACCCUAAUGUGUUGAAAUGUUUCAAAACUUGCCCUCAAGUUUUGGAAUUUAAAAGUUGAUUAAAAGUUUAAUUAGGAAUGUUAAAUUCUAAAACUCUAGUAUAGUUUUGAAAAAGUUCAAAUCACACCCUUAUGGUUUUAUUAAUUAAUUAAGGUGUAUAAUUAAAAGAAGUUUAAUAAAUCCAUAAAAGUUUAGGUUUACAAUUUAAUUGAAUUAAAAGUAUAAUUGUUAAAUUAGACCACCUAGUAUUUUGAAAGUAUAAAAUACACCCUAUACUAUAUAUAACAUUAAAAGUCUAACAUUAUAUAUAUGUAUGAGUAAAAGUCAGUCUUACCGUUAGUAGGCCUCAUUCACGAAGCUGGUCUAUAAGGGGUGUUUAAGGAAAUUGCCUAUAAAAUGGCGAUUGAAUGGGUAUCCACUCUUACCCACCGCACUCUUGACUAGUGGAGGGUCGUUAGCCGAACGGGUAGGAUAGGACGAAACCUUCCAUUAUAAGUAUAAUGAAUUAUUAAAGUAACUAAAUGUUUUCAUAAAAUUCCCAAUCUUAGUUACUUAGGCAAAAGUGAAUUGAUGCAAUUCCAUGAAAUUACACUUUGUGCCCUUGCGAAGACGUUAGUGGAGCGUGUGUGGUUUACCGGCACACUAAAUGGUUCUAAGCAAAGGUAGCAAAGGGUGACUCAAUGUUUGUCAUAGUUCGGUGGAGCGUGUGUGGUUUACCGGCACAUCGAAUAGGUGACUGUAACAUGUGAGGGCACCAUGUAAGUUUGCAUGGUUAUUCACACCCGCUUUGUGAUCCUCGGCAUCCCAGUCACAAACAAGAGGGGCAUAUCGAGAUUUAAACAUGCCAUUGAAAGUUCAAUGAAUCUCAAAGGAUCUAGGAGUUUUCAUAGAUUUAAAACUUAAAUUUCUUUUUCGUUUUUCAUGGUGGAAAUUAGUGAAUCGUCAUUCACUUACCUUCAAAUAUUCUGCAAUUAGGGUUACGGCAUCCCUCUCCCGAGUUGUAGAAUAUUGUGUUGGGUCCUAGCCUUAGUAUCUCAUUUGGGUGAUUUACUAAGGACUCAAUCAAUCAACUAACUUGAAUUCGUUUUCUCCCGUUUUGUAGAUGUCAAAGUUCGACAACUAUGGUCUUCCCAAAUCCCGUGGAACAAGCAUUCCACAUGAAGAUGAUAUUCCACGAUUCGAUCGAGGAACAAGAAAUCAUGCUUCACUUCCUCCUCCUCCUCCAAUUAUUCUCCCUAACCCACAAGUUCAAAGGCUUGAAAAGUUCAAGAUCACUCAAGCCCUUUUGGCAAGUAAACAUAAAGAAGGAAAGUCGGUGUGUGCACACGUCCUAGGGAUGAAGUCACACAUUGAUAGGUUAAGAAUGUUGGGAUCCGUUGUCUGUGAGGAAAUGGCUGUUGAUUGGGUUCUUCAGUCACUUCCUAACUCAUAUAGUGAGUUCGUAAGAGAGUACUAUAUGAUGAACCGCGACGUGACCCUUAUAGAUCUCACCUAUAUGCUUAUUGCUGCUGAAUCAGCAAUGGUUUGGCGCAAUAGAAAAGCAAAGUUGAUUGGUGAAUCUGCCUUCAAGACCUCUAUGGAUAUAGACAAUGGCAACGAAAGACAUGCUAUGAUCGAAAAGUUUGAUCAUAAGAGAAAGGCAAUGUCUGAAGUAGUUCCAUGUCAUGUUCCAAAAGAGUCAAUUUGCUUUUAUUGCCAAGAGAAAGGGCAUUGGAGACGAAGCUGCCCCAUUUACCUAAGAGAUCUAAGAGAUGGGAGAGUCGAAACGUAUGGCUCUAAUAUAGGUAAAAUCCAUUAACUAACUCUUUUAAGCUUCUAUUCUAGAUUCUUAAUACAUAAUGUGAUAAGAUUACAAUUGAUGUUUUGUAGGAUCGAAGAAAAGAAAGGAAGCUUAAGGGAAGAAGUGAGCAGAAUCUAACCGUGAAGGAAUGGAUUUCGAUCGCAUUUCUCGAAGAUUAGAUUCUUGAGCUACUACUUAGAGUUAGAAUUAGAUUGCUAAGAAAGAUGUAUUAGCAUAGUUUUUCAAUGAAUUGCAUUGUAAGGACAAAUUUUUCCGCAAUAAAAUAAAUUUUGAUUUUAUAUUAUUUAUUUAUCCUUGCAAUGGCGUAUAUGAAAAAUUGAUGUUUGAAUGUUUCUAUUAUUAGCAAUAAUGGAUUUGGUUCUUAUUAUGUUAUUUAUGGAAAGUCGAGAAUUUACCAAAUAGGGAGAGUUUCUCAUCGCCCAAGUUUCAAUUGGACAGAAACUUGGAAUCAUGCAACUUGGUUGCACGAUGAAUGAGAAAUUUCAUAUUUGGAAAUUAGACUAAUUCAUUGACAAAGUGUCAAGUGAAGGACUAGGAGAUCGAGUACACAAAGUUGCGUGUUGAUCAAGUCCACCAUAAGAGUAACAAAGAUAUUCGUCAUGAUUUACUAAAGGUUUAGUAAAUAUGAUUAUACUUACAAGAUUAAGUGUAAUUCUGAAUUGAUUAAAGGGUUUAGAUCAAUAGCAGAACGAAUAAGAAGAAUCAAGUAGGCAGAAAGAUAAAAGUUUCUCCAUUCUAAGAAGAAGGGAGAGUACCUUUUAUGCUUUAUGAUAGGUCUUAAUGAUUAAGAACCAUAUCUCAAUUGAUCCUCUAAGUGAGUCUUAGUACAAUUGUAUGUCUAAGAAGAGGAAUCAAGAAUUGAAGAAAUGGUUAAAUCAAGAAGUCAAUCAUACUUCGUUCCAAAACAAGUCUUAGAGUUAAGAUUGUGACAUUGAGUGAUAAGUAUUAAGAAGGUUUAUAACAUUCAUCAAAUGUGGAAAGUUGUGAUGUCUUGGAUAAGACAAAGACCAACUAGGACCAAUUUAUGAAGUGUUUUGAUAAAAGCUACACUAACUCUUGAAUAUUUGUUUGUCAAGAAAUGGUUAUUGACAAGAGAAUCUUAUAUGUCAAGGAGUCAGUGGGAGUCUUAAUGGUCUUGAAAGGUUUCAAGAACAAAUCAAAUAAACCUUAUCGAUCAUCACUAGCACACGAGUUGAGGUUUACAACCUAUCGUGUUGACAUUAUUUUGUUUCUGUGCCAAUCCAAUCGAGUUAAUUAUGCAUGUGAGUUCUAUGAGUUCUCAUUUUGAACGCAUAAAAGGCAAAGCACCUUAAUCAAUGAAAGGUACAUUGAUAGGAAAGGGUGAGCUGCUUAACUACUUGGAAGACAUGGUGGGCAGCUGUGCUACCAUAAGGCAAGAAAUCAAGAUUAAGAAAGUUCGGUCCAUAUGAGUUUGAAUUUGUCGUAAACUUUGGUUUUAACAAAUUCACAUGGAUAGGAACACAUACACCGUUUAAAUCUAAGUGUCAUAAGAUUUCCUCCUUCAUGAAAAUGAUUGUGAGGAAAUGCUUUCACUAAGAAAGAUUUUAAGAAGAUAGUGAUUGUAAAAUUGCAUUCUCGAAUUCGAUUAUGGUUACGGUAUCCCUUUCCAUAAUUUGAAUUGUGAGGUUUGGCAAUUAGUCUUAAUUGUUUAGACACACAUAUGAACUAUCGAAGGCAAAGGUGUAUAAGUUCAAGAAGCCUUGAUAAAAGAUUAUCAAAGCACUAAGUAUUAGAAACAUGAACUUAAGAAAUUCAAUAAGCAUUGUUUUUCUGAAAGUUAAGAUGUUUAUGAAUACAUGUCGAAGCUAGUGGGAGCAUAAGUGUUAUGUUUUAUAAUAAUCAUCAUGAUAGUGGGAGCAUAAAUGUUAUGAUUGUAUGAUUAUUAAGGCACGUAUUGCAAGUUGGCAAUAUUAAUUAUAGAAAACAAGAGUUAUACCUUGCAAAGUCGUAAGGGUUGUAAAGUUGUUUUGCUAUAAUUAAGGGAGAGAAUAUUAUGCUUCAUUUCAAAUCUAAAGGAUUAGGUUGAGAAAUGUUAAUAAAUUUAGUCAAAGGUACAUAGUGUGUUCUUAAAAUUUCGAUUAUGAUUACGGCAUCCCUCUUCACAAUUCGAAUUUUGAGAACAUAGCAAAUAAAACAUUAUGCGUCGUGUCCCAUACGCUUCGGGUAUAGGAUCGAUUGCAAAUGCUUUAAUGUUUGACCAUUCUAAAAUUUUCCAAAUGUCGAGCGCAUUUAGAGGGAAAAGGGACUAGAAUUGGUUUUGACUAAAAUAAUUAAACAACUAUCAAAGGACAAUCCAAAGUUCGACGAGGAUUGGUCGCUUGUGAGUAGUUGGAAGUAUAGUAUUGGAAAAUAUGGAAAUGUUUCCAUAUUGGAUGGACCAUAUCGACAUCAUUACGAAUAGAUAAGAUUCUAUUAAGAAUGAGUUGUCAUAUGGAACAUAUGGAAGUGUGUCCAUAUUGGGAAUUGAAUAUUGAGAAAUCUAUGACUAGAUUAGAAACUUCUAUGCAAAAGGAUGUUCAAAGAAUGUACUUUGAGUGAGAGACAUCACGUCUAUGGAAUUGUCUUGUAACAAUCUCCGAUAGAGGACUUUGUAAUAUCAUUGGCAAUAGUCUUUGUGACUUUGGUGCAGUGACAUUACGAAAGGAUAGUUGCAUAGAAUGUUAGAAUCUAGCAUAUUCUAUAAGUAGCAAGAAUUUGAUAUUCUUUCACUUAUGAAAAAGGGAUUUGGAGUUGUGAAAUGAGAAGGAUUGGAAAUGUGUUCAAUGUGAUCUAUUUCACAAAGUAAGAACCAUAGGUAAACAUUGUGUGCAUGCUAGGAGCAUGGGACAAGUGUUGGAAUUCAAGUAAGAAGUUGAUUACCCGAAACGACAAAUAAUGAGUAAUCAAUAUGGUGAUAAAUAAAAGGUGUUUUAUUUAUACUCAAAGGUUUGAGGCCAUAUGGGAUUAGUAUUAUUCUUGUGUUUCACAUUUGCAUGUUUUGACUUCCAGAAUAAUUGAGUUUAUUAAGAAUAAUCGAAUUAUUCAAACGGGCCACAGUCGUUCAUAUGUUGGAAGUAGAUAUGAAUGAAGACUGUCGUGAAUUGGUGUGUGGAUUGUCUAAAAGAGUAUUAGACAUAAGCAAAUGUUUGCUGCAACGUUCAUGAGUGCUUAUGAAUAUGAUUUGAGCAUUGGAUUAAACCCACGCUCACUUGGAUCACUCCAUGAAUUGUAUCACGAGUGAUUGGUGAGACGAUAACAUCUUAUAUUCUUGAAACCGAGAUGUGUGAGUUGUAUCUUGCAAAUCGGUUGCACAUUGAUAAUAUGUAAACGCACUAGUAACUUGGUGUUAUAAAACAUAUUGUUGUGUGUGAUUCGGUGAGUGAGUGCAAGCAAGCAUUGUAUCAAAGUUUAUCCGUUCCUUUUAUCCAAAGUAGGAUAAAAGCGAUAUCUUUGGGCCCCUCGAUGAUUUAGUGAUGACAAACGUAAAUGCUCGGCCGGGCUAGGGCUAAUUUGAUUUGUUCAAUUAGUCAGUCGUCAUAAAUCGGAAAUCGAGAUAUAGUACAAAGAGAAUGAUUUGAAAUCAUAUCUCAUAUGAUAUCUAGAAUGGAGGAAUAUAUGAUCCCUUAUCUAAGGACACGCGUAUCUGAUAUGAUCAGAGUUGACAGCGGCUUUGGAAAGCUACGAUUGCAGAUCGGGAUCCGAAGUCAUACGCAGAAUAGUUGUUAGACUUAUCCAAGUGGGAGACUGUUGGAUUAGUGUCUAAGUCCAUAACUAUUUUGGUAUGUACUUGACCCGAUGGUGCAUGGUCCUUUUGGGUUGCCUUCACCAAAGCAACUUGAUUGGAGAAAUAAAUAGAGAGAGAGGUUAUUAUGAUUUAUUAAUAUGUUAUAAGAAUAAUAUAUUAAAGGAGAAAUCAUAUUUGUUUAAUUAAUAUUGGUCAAUAAUUAAUUAAGAAUUAGUUUUGUGAUCAAAUGUAAUUAAUUAAACUAGAGGGGCUGAAUUGUAAUUAUGUGAUAGUUACAAAAUAAGGUAAGAGUUAUCUUAUUGAUAGGUUGGACGAAUUUAAGGAUAAAGAGCCUUAGAAUUCGAGUAUGAUAAGGAUUCAAGGAUUAUCUUAUGGGUUGCUUAAUGGAUAAGCAACUAGAUAACGAUAAUGACUGAAACCCUAUCUCUACACCUAUAUAAACACCCCUUGGCUCAUGAAUUCGUGCAUCCCUUCCCAAGAAGUCUUAGAGACGAAUUCUAACCUCUCUCCUCUCUCUUUAUACCUUCUCCACUUGCUUAUGGUGUUUGUAAGCCAUUAGAGGAGUGACACUUGUGACUCUCAGCUUUCCAAGGUCAAUUCAAGGAGGAAUUGGAUUGUUAUUACUACAUAACAAUCAAGGUAAUAUCUUAAACCUAAUUAUAUGUUAAUAUUGAUUUCCAUAUGCUAGAAUUAGGGUUUAUAGUCUUGGAUUCAAAGUAUGUGCAAUAGAGAAACCUAGAUCCAAGCUUUAGGGUUUGUAUGAGCACAUAGGAUGUCUUAUAACCAAAACCCAU